Molecule: long non-coding RNA, 950 nt
Organism: Beta vulgaris subsp. vulgaris (sugar beet)
Lineage: Eukaryota; Viridiplantae; Streptophyta; Magnoliopsida; Caryophyllales; Amaranthaceae
Exons: 3
Source: RefSeq, a predicted model, not a curated record
AAGAAUCCGCCAUUUUAGCGUCUGAAUUUAGCGUCCGACAGUAUAAGUGGACGGUAAAUUCAAAAUUAGCGUCUGAUAUAUAACAGAUGCAAAUUAGCGACUGCUUUCUUGUUUUUAGCGUCUGUUUACAAAAACGGACACUAAUUAGCGUCCGUUUACAAAAACGGACACUAAUUAGCGUCCGUUUAGUAAAAUUAGCGUCCGUUUGGCAGACGCUAAUUUAUUGGUCUUACCAAUAUCAAUCGACCGCUCCCUCAAACCUUCCAAUUGUCCUAAACAAGAAAUAAAAUCCUCUCUUCACCGCUCUCUCUCACCUCAAUUCUUUCCUCUGUCUAACUCUUCAUUUUCCUCAGAUGUGGUAUUUCGUUAUUUCUCUCGUUUAGAUCUGGUAUUUGGUUGUGGUUAGGGUUUUUUUUUUGGUUAUUUCUCUGAGCAUCGCCGUCUUCAAGCAUCACCGCCUCUUCUUUAUCAGUUGAAGUGAGAAGUAAGAAAGUGUGUUAAAGGAGGAAGAACAGAAUGAUUUACAGAAAGUGGAGCCUGCUGAGCAGCACUAGGGUGAUCGCUGGUGGCAUCGUCGGUGCGGUUUUCCUCGACAACCUCCUCUUUGUGAAUAAAGGAGGUAGUAAUGAUGCACUAGCCUGAUUCCGAAUCUUAAUUCCAGCAAGGUCAGAAAAGUUAUCCACUGCAUCCAGAGUUAGCUGAGAGUAUGUAUUGGCUUUACAAAGCUCUACCAGCGAUACCAGGUUUGUACAUAGAAAUAUUCCCAUAUUCAGUGUCAUUAUUGAUCAAGAAAAUAGUGGUCUUUUCUCUUUUGUUUUACAAUUGGCACAAGUCCGGAUUCCUUUUCCCCACUUUACAAUUGGCACAAGAAGUAACAUUGAAUAUAUCAUCUGUGUUUGCCUCUUUUAGAGAUUUGUAGUAGGUUUGCUUGUCAUUUGGCUGUAUAGUUA